AUUGAACGCUGGCGGCAUGCCUUACACAUGCAAGUCGAACGGCAGCACGGGUGCUUGCACCUGGUGGCGAGUGGCGAACGGGUGAGUAAUACAUCGGAACAUGUCCUGUAGUGGGGGAUAGCCCGGCGAAAGCCGGAUUAAUACCGCAUACGAUCUACGGAUGAAAGCGGGGGACCUUCGGGCCUCGCGCUAUAGGGUUGGCCGAUGGCUGAUUAGCUAGUUGGUGGGGUAAAGGCCUACCAAGGCGACGAUCAGUAGCUGGUCUGAGAGGACGACCAGCCAAACUGGGACUGGAACACGGCCAGGACUCCUAGGGAAGGCAGAGGGGGGGAAUUUUGAAAGAGGGCGAAAGCCUGAUCCAGCAAUGCCGCGUGUGUGAAGAAGGCCUUCGGGUUGUAAAGCACUUUUGUCCGGAAAGAAAUCCUUGGCCCUAAUACGGUCGGGGGAUGACGGUACCGGAAGAAUAAGCACCGGCUAACUACGU
RNAcentral lists this ribosomal RNA (484 nucleotides) under uncultured bacterium. Its description in RNAcentral is "partial 16S ribosomal RNA". It matches the Rfam family "Bacterial small subunit ribosomal RNA", at positions 29 to 506 of the family's 1533-position model. The record is from RNAcentral.